AGACAAUGUUGUACUUCCACCUCCAGACAAACUCUGAAAUAUUAUCUUCUGGCUUUCAUUGUGUGAAAAUCCCCCAACUAAAUCUACCCAUAUUCUAAAAGAUUAUAUCAUUGAGAUUUGGCAUGGUCUCGAAAACUUCCCUCCAGCCAGCUUGCCACUCCAGAUGGCAUUGCCUUUCUGAACAAGCUGAAUCCUCUGGUCAUGAAGAAAUACGUUGCCAUUCUUAGAAGUUACAGAGGAAAGAUAGUUUGGAGAAUCAGACAAAUCUCACCUUGAAUCAUGUCCUGCAACUCACUAAUUGUAUAACUACAUGAGCUAUUUAUGCUGUUGAGCUCAGGUCUUUCAUCUCUGAAAGGAGGGUGAAAAAAUGAACCUCAAUUUUGAAUGAUGUGAAACUGUAUGAAGUUUCAACCAAUGUUGAACUAAAAAAUUGCAAGUCACCUACUAAGUUCUGGGCAUUAAAUGUGAUAAAUUAGAGAGAGAGAGAAUCUAGACUCUGGAACACAUAGCAAGUAUUAAUUCCUUCCCUCUCCAUUCCUCACCUUUCUCCCUAAGUCCUUAUCCCCAAGCAGUAAUAUAUCACUCAAUAUCAACAAGCCACAUUGCUUUGUAUGUUAAAAUGGGCAUGCGGAAGAGAACAAGGCACAACAGUACUGAGGAGGAAAAGUCUCCCUGAUGGAAAACUGGACAUCUGAGUCCAAAG
Long non-coding RNA from Vulpes vulpes (red fox), 703 nucleotides. The record is from Ensembl. NCBI's taxonomy places the organism in Eukaryota, Metazoa, Chordata, Mammalia, Carnivora, Canidae.